Molecule: long non-coding RNA, 3067 nt
Organism: Paramisgurnus dabryanus
Lineage: Eukaryota; Metazoa; Chordata; Actinopteri; Cypriniformes; Cobitidae
Source: RefSeq, a predicted model, not a curated record
AAGCUGUUCAAAUGACAUCAUGUAACUCAUUUUUGCUAGCUAGGAUGUUGAUAAAUUAGUCAGUGAAAUGUAAAGCUGCUUAUUUUUGCUGAUGUCUCAUGAUUUGAAGUUCAUUGUUUCUAUUGUUAUUAUAAUUCUACCCUAACAUUUCAUUAAAUCUUUUAAAAUAGAAACAAAAAUAUCAAUAGACAGGUCCAUAAUCUAAAAGACAGUCUUUCACAUGUGGAUGCAAAACAUGUUGGGUGAAACAGACUGACAAACUCGGGUAAACAUAUCUGCAGAUACCUGUCAGCUACUGUACUUCUAGUCCAGAGGUGCCCAAAGUUGGCCCACAAAAGACCUUAAAUUUUUUUAUGUUUCAUGCAUACUUGAAGGUGUAUAAAAUGCAUCACAAAACCUAAUGAACUCGGGUACUAUAGGCUAAAAAUGAAGAGGUUGCGGCAGUGGCACACAGAGAAAAGGAUAUUUAAAAUUGAUUGGCAAAACGAUUUCUUUUUCCUACAAACAGCCUUGGAAAAUAAAACUGCAUUAGUUAUGCAUAAACAGAGUAGUGUUUGCUUAUUUAUUUUUUAAAAUAUUAGAAAAUUAUAAAUUAGGGGUUAUCAGGGCAACUUUAAUUUUAAUAUAACACAACAACAUUUACUUUUGGCCCACGGCCCUCAGUCAGGUUUGGCCCUUGUAAGGAAAAUGUUCGGGCACCAAUGAAUGUUCAAGUCUAUCUGAGGAGGUAACUUUUAGCAUUUGAUAAUGCAUGCUUGCACAAAGUCAGACCACAUAUUAUAAUGUUUGUCUUCAAUCAAUCAAUUUAAACAAAAGAGAUGGGGACUUUAUAAUAUAAUAAGGGUCCAUAUAUCACAGUGAAAAAAGACAUACAUGUAUUUUUACUUUAACAUGAACUAAUGCUGAGUUACAGCAUAUCCUAAUAAUAAACUAUUGAAGAGUCAUCAUUAACUACGACAUGUUUUUCAUUGUUAGUUAAUGCAGUCAUUUACAAUAAAUUAAUUUGAGUUCAUGUUGUAGUUAAGUAAGUUCAGUAAGUUACAUGUCUUAACUCAGCAUUAGUUUAUAUUUACUAAUAUUUAAGUAAGAAUUCAUUUAGGUAUACGUUCAAUGUUUCCAAUGAUGAGCAGUUAAUCCACUAAACCCAGAGAUAAUUCCUGAGGCAUGUUUAAAGAGUUUUGUAUUUCAUCAAGAAGGUGCUGCUGAUUCACAAAGAUUUUAUAUUUAAGAAAAUCUGAGCAUCAUUCCAAAUAACUGUUAACAUGUUUGUCAACUAAACAUGUUUUGUAAACGUAAUAAACUUUAUAAAAAUAUUUUUUAUUUUUUAUUAAUAAUCAAGUAUAAAGAACAAUGCAUAGUGUGAAAACGCGGAUUAUAAAAAGUAUAUUAAAGAAAAGGACUACAUUUCCCAGAAUGCACCUGCACCUACUCAUCUGCCCCCACCCUUCAGGUGCGACUGCUCAACCUAUGGGCUUGACGGGAAAAUUCAAAAUCGCGAACCGUUACUGCCUGGACUACUCCGUCUCUUGUUUGCUCAUUAACAGUAAGAGGUCAUGUACACUGUGGUCAACUUUGUGGACGAUGAAGAGGUUUCUGGGUAGAGCUGAUAGAAAUAUAAUGAAGUAACAGUGAAAGCUAAAACAUCAGACUGAUCCAGACACUGAAGAAAUUGAUAUCACUGCAAUCUGGCCAAAAUGAUACAACUAUAUUGAAGUAGCCUACUGUAAUGAAGCUGCAGAACAACACAGAGACUCUGAGGACAUCAACACAGAAAAUGAAGGCUCCAAAGAGAUGUCUGUCCAGAUGAGGGUGCAUCAACGUUACCUUUGCUGACAAGUAUAUGCUUUACAAUGUAAAACCUAACAGUUAACUUAACUCAAACCAUUUAAGGAAAUCGGUUGCCUUAACCCAUUAAGUUUAAAAAAAAACAUACAUUUGAGUACUGUGAACUUAAGUCUUGUGCAAUAAUGCACAGUUAUAUUUAGUUAGUGUGAACUUAAAUAUAAGUGCAUAACUGCAUGUGACUCAAUUUGUUUAAGUUCACAGUACUCAAAUCUAUGUGUUUUAAAACUUAAAUGGUUUAAUGCAACCGGUUUUCUUAAAUGGUUUGAGUUUAGUUAACUUUUAGGUUUUACAGUGAGAAAUUCUUGAAUAAUUCCAAGACAGAGCUCUGCAAUUGUAUCUACACUGCAAAAAAAUCAGUUUCUAACUUAGGAUUUUUAUCUUGUUUUUAGUAGAAAAACUAAAAAUUCUUAAAUCAAGAUGUAUUUUCUUGAUGAGCAAAAUUACCUAAGAAAAUGUCUAGUUUUUAGACAAAAAUAUACAAUUUAAGUAAAUUUGUGCCUAAACAAGCAAAAAUAUCUAACAAUGGGGUGAGAAAAUUGUGCUUGAAUUAAGUUUUUAAGAAAAAAGAAAACUUAAGAUUUUUUCUCACACCAUUGGCAGAUAUUUUUGCUUGUUUUAAGCACAAAUUCACUUAAAUUGUGUGCAUUUAUUUAUUUUGUCUAAAACUAGACUUAUUUUCUUAGGUCAUUUUGUUCAUCAAGAAAAAGCAUUUUAUUUAAAUAAUAUUUCUACUGAAAACGAGACAAAAAUACUAUGUAAGAAAGUCAUUAUUUUGCAGUGUAGGACUGAUUUCUUGAACAACAACUAUAUUGAUCUUGCUUUAUUUUAUUUAAAUAUUUACUACAUUACAGUGGCAGGUGGUGACUUCUUUUUUUGUGAGCACUCGAUGCAAAGUUUGUCACAACAUGUAUAUAGCCAGUCAUUUGUGUGGUUCAAAAUAUGUGUUCUGCGUGUAUGUGCAUCAUGUGUUUUGACUAAACCCGUGAUGCACAUGGUUUACAUGAAGCAACAAACACAUUUUAAAAACACAAGCAAUACACAUGACACUCCGAACACUUAUUUUGAAUUUGCACCCCUCGGAUGAGCAGUCACGAGCCGCCACUGCUACAUUACAUUGUACUGCUUUGAAUGUAAUUUUUAUUGUUGCUUUUAUUUUGUUUUAUUUUACUCUAAUAUUGCUUUCUCUGUCUGUAUAUUUAUGAGUUUAAAUAGUAUUGUUUAU